RNAcentral lists this transfer RNA (72 nucleotides) under Ovis aries (sheep). It matches the Rfam family "tRNA". Rfam says of the family: Transfer RNA (tRNA) molecules are approximately 80 nucleotides in length. Lineage: Eukaryota; Metazoa; Chordata; Mammalia; Artiodactyla; Bovidae. The record is from Rfam by way of RNAcentral.
UCCGCAGUGGCUCAGAUGUUUAAGAAUCUGCCUGAAAUGCAGGAGACCCAGGUUCGAUCCCUGGAUCAGGAA